RNAcentral lists this ribosomal RNA (520 nucleotides) under Papilio bianor kotoensis. RNAcentral's name for it is "partial 16S ribosomal RNA". The record is from RNAcentral. Lineage: Eukaryota; Metazoa; Arthropoda; Insecta; Lepidoptera; Papilionidae.
AAACAUGUCUUUUUGAAAAUAAUUUAAAGUUUAAUCUGCCCCCUGAUNAAAUUAUUAAAGGGCUGCAGUAUUUUGACUGUACAAAGGUAGCAUAAUCAUUAGUCUCUUAAUUGGUGACUUGUAUGAAAGAUUGGAUGAAAUAUAUACUGUCUCUAUUUAAUUUAUAAAAUUUAAUUUUUUAGUAAAAAAGCUAAAAUGAAUUUAAAAGACGAGAAGACCCUAUAGAGUUUGAUAAUUUAUUUAAUUAUUAUUAAUAUAUAAAUUUUAAAAUUAAAAUUAAAUAAAUUAUUUUGUUGGGGUGAUAGAAAAAUUAAAUUAACUUUUUUUUUAUUUUAUACAUUAAUUUAUGAAUGAAUGAUCCAUUAAUAAUGAUUAAAAGAAAAAAUUACCUUAGGGAUAACAGCGUAAUUUUUUUUUUUAGUUCAAAUAGGAAAAAAAGUUUGCGACCUCGAUGUUGGAUUAAGAUAAAAUUUAAAUGCAAAAGUUUAAAAUUUUGAUCUGUUCGAUCAUUAAAAUCUUA